CACUGUUUGGGAAGAGUGAAAAAUAAUGGGUGAAAGUAAAAUAUAACUUAUUUUAGUCUCUCAUUUUUCUCUCCAAAACGGGAGGAAAAUAAAUGAAGAAAGGUGUAAAAGUUUAUUAUUUGGUGUGAAAUUACAAUAUUAACUAUCCAUUCCACUUUCCCAAAUUACUUCAUCCACUGCGCUUACUCCUCUCCUCUCCUCUCUCAAGCUCCACUUCCAUCUCAAAUCAGUAUCCCUUCUCAAUCUUCAAAAUUAUGAACUAUGAAGAAUUCUUUUUAGAGAAGGAGUGAGUUGUCAAGUUUAUUACACUUGAAUUUUCGAAUUUGCGUUGUUGAGCAGGGAAUGCUAUUGCUAAAGAAUCCACUAUAACUGGUUAGGAAUCUAAUGAAAUUGCAAAGCAGUCUCUUUCACCUUCAAUGUGGUAGACCAGAUUAUUACCGACAAGAUGAGGUAUAUUCAGAGUCGGAAGUGAUAGGGUUGCAUCAAGAUCAUUUGAUGGAUGCAUAUUUCUAUAUGUCUAAUGUCCGAUAACAAUUCGAUCUUUCUUUGGUGUCCCUCGAUCAAGGCGUUUAGAAUGGUUAAUGAGGGCUAUGAGUUCGAGUACAUGAAAGUAAGAAGCCAUUAUAAUAAUGACAAACUUGGCAUUAAUAGGUUAGUUUUUAAAUUAGAUUUGUGUUUGAAUCGAAUAUUAAUUAAUUUUCAUGUAUUUAUGCAGAUGUGAUAUGUUUUAAACUAUUAAUUGCUCUAUUUAGGUGGAUAGUUAAUUGUUUAAUGAGACUUUUAGUUGAA
Molecule: non-coding RNA, 789 nt
Organism: Jatropha curcas
Lineage: Eukaryota; Viridiplantae; Streptophyta; Magnoliopsida; Malpighiales; Euphorbiaceae
Source: RefSeq, a predicted model, not a curated record